RNAcentral lists this ribosomal RNA (301 nucleotides) under uncultured bacterium. RNAcentral's name for it is "partial 16S ribosomal RNA". It matches the Rfam family "Bacterial small subunit ribosomal RNA", at positions 509 to 809 of the family's 1533-position model. The record is from RNAcentral.
CAGCAGCCACGGUAAUACGAAGGGUGCAAGCGUUAAUCGGAAUUACUGGGCGUAAAGCGUGCGCAGGCGGUUAUAUAAGACAGAUGUGAAAUCCCCGGGCUCAACCUGGGACCUGCAUUUGUGACUGUAUAGCUAGAGUACGGUAGAGGGGGAUGGAAUUCCGCGUGUAGCAGUGAAAUGCGUAGAUAUGCGGAGGAACACCGAUGGCGAAGGCAAUCCCCUGGACCUGUACUGACGCUCAUGCACGAAAGCGUGGGGAGCAAACAGGAUUAGAUACCCCUGUAUCCCUGUCUCUUAUACA